This 501-nucleotide ribosomal RNA is filed under the name uncultured bacterium. Its description in RNAcentral is "partial 16S ribosomal RNA". It matches the Rfam family "Bacterial small subunit ribosomal RNA", at positions 29 to 523 of the family's 1533-position model. The record is from RNAcentral.
AUUGAACGCUGGCGGCAUGCCUUACACAUGCAAGUCGAACGGCAGCACGGGUGCUUGCACCUGGUGGCGAGUGGCGAACGGGUGAGUAAUACAUCGGAACAUACCUUAUCGUGGGGGAUAACGCAGCGAAAGCUGUGCUAAUACCGCAUACGCCCUGAGGGGGAAAGCGGGGGAUCGAAAGACCUCGCGCGAUUAGAGCGGCCGAUGCCUGAUUAGCUUGUUGGUGGGGUAAAAGCCCACCAAGGCGACGAUCAGUAGCUGGUCUGAGAGGACGAUCGGCCACACGGGGACUGGGACACGGCCCAGACUCCUACGGGGGGCAGCAGUGGGGAAUUUUGGACAAUGGGGGCAACCCUGAUCCAGCAAUGCCGCGUGAGUGAAGAAGGCCUUCGGGUUGUAAAGCUCUUUUGUCAGGGAAGAAACACCGGCUCUAACACAGUCCGGGAAUGACGGUACCUGAAGAAUAAGCACCGGCUAACUACGUGCCAGCAGCCGCCGUAA